RNAcentral lists this long non-coding RNA (3548 nucleotides) under Mus musculus (house mouse). RNAcentral's name for it is "long non-coding RNA chr16:14429398-14432946". Lineage: Eukaryota; Metazoa; Chordata; Mammalia; Rodentia; Muridae. The record is from RNAcentral.
GGUCCCCUGGUGCUCCUCAAUUCCUGUGUCCUGACAGUUCUGCGAUGGUUCCUCUGAGCAGCAGUGGUGGUCCUAUCUGGACUUACAGGCCUGUCUGCACUCGUGGGAGGCUUGCUCUCUUGUGGCACCACCUGGGUAUGGAGCCCUGUGGCAGAGGACCUGCUCCAGGCACAAGCAGAAACGGGAAGGUUCCUGUCCCAGGCAGCUUCUUGGCUCCUGUGUCCUGAGGGUUCCGGGUCAGUUCCUCUGAGCAGCGGUGGUGGUCCCACUCAAAGGCUGUCUUCACUCCUUGGAGGCUAGCUCUCCUCUGGCGCUGUUUGGGUUUGGAGCCCUGUGGCAGAGGAUCAGCUCCAGGUGCAGACAGAAACUUGAAGUCUCCGGUGUCAAUGUUUUCUGUGGUAUGUUCUGCACCUGUGAUUCUCUCUUGCAUUUCUUGUAUUCUGUUGGUUAUGCUUGCAUCUAUGACUCUUGAUCUCUUUCCUAGUUUUUCCAUCUCUAGAGUUGUCUUUUGUGAUUUCUUUAUUGUUUCUGUUUCUAUUUUAGAUCCUGGAUGGUCAUGUUCAAUUCUUUCACCUGUUUGGUUGUGUUUUCCUGCAGUUCUUUAAGGGAUUUCUUUAAGGUCUUCUUCCUGUUUACCUGUGUUCUCCUGUAUUUCUUUAAGGGAGUUAUUUAUGGUCUUCUUAAAAUCCUCUAUCAUUAUCAUGAGAUAUGAUUUUAAAUCAGAGUCUUGCUUUUCUGGUGUGCUGGGGUAUCCAGGACUUGCUGUGGUGGGAGAACUGGGUUCUGAUGAUGCCAAGUAGCCUUGUUUUUUGUUGCUUAUGUUUUUUGUUGCCUUUUGCUAUCUGGUUAUCUCUCAUGAUGGUUGGUCUUGCUGUCUCUGGUUGGAGCUUGUCUCUCCUGUGGACCUGUAAGCCUAUGUCUGUACUCCUGGGGGAACAGCCCAAGCUACCGGUGCAGAUGGGGACUGGAAGGAUCCUGUCCCUUUUGCUCCGCUGUUCUUGUCCCCUGUGUGCUCCUCGCUGGUCCUGCCCUGGACAGUUACUGGAGAAAAAGUGGCUAUCUCACCUCCGUGCUUGGGUGUGAGACCAUUCCUGGGAGACCAUGUCUCUCCUGGCAGAGCUUGUGUACAGAGCGCUGUGGAACAGCCCAAGCUCUAGGUGCAAAUGUUGACUGGAAGGAUCCUGUUCCAGCUGCUCCACUGUCCCUGUGCCCUGCACAAUCCUGGCUGGCCCUGCUCCUUACGGUUAUUAGAGAGAAAUUAGGAGAUCUCACCUCUUGACCCAGGAGUGAUACCACUCUCUCCUGGCAGGAUUUGUGCUUAGAGGCUGUGGAAUAGCCUCAGCUCCUGGGUACAGACAGCCUCACUGAAGUUUCAUAUAGCGGUUCAGAGCUUGCCUGAACUCCCCUUACAGCAGCCAGCAGUAGCACACAGAGCUUGACACACCAACCACUCCAGUCUCCUCAGCUACAACAUUGAACCAGUAGUCCUUCUUGUGUUUUUAACCUAAAUAUUUAUAAAAUUUAAAAAUCAAACUUCUGUGUUUUUGUGCAUGUGUGUAGGGAAGAUGAGUGCUGUAGCAUGCAUAUAGAGGCUAGAGGACAACCAGAAUUCUCUCCUUCCACGUGUGCACUCCAGGGCCUGAACUCAGCUUGUCAGUCUUGGCAACAAGUGCCUUUGCCAUUGAGCCAGAACCUAACCCUUUUCCAAAGGCUGCUAGUUUGGUGCUAGGGUUUAGCUCAGGAGCAAAGCAUUUGUUAAGGUAUGAUAUCCUGGGUUCUGUCCUUGUCACCAUGAAGCUAAAAGAUUGCCAUUUGAGCAAGGUCUUCUUCAUCACCCCUCUCUAAGACUGAUGCCUUCAUCCCUCUUUAAUUGCACCCUUGGCAGUUCCCCGAGGCUGGUCCAGCUAGCCAUCUGUUACAGAAUGCAAACCUGUGCUAUCAGCUUUCUUCAUUGAGAAAGUCUUACAGGAAAGGGCUAGGGUGGGGUGAUGAUUCUGUAGUGAAGGACUCACGUUACAAGAACGAAGACCAACGUUUGAUCUUUAGCACCCAUGUUAAACAAUAGAGCCAGGAGUAGUGGUGAGGCAGAGAAAGGCAGAUUCAUUGCCUCCCUGGCCAGCCAGUCUAGUCUAGCUGAGUUCCAAGGCCAGUGACAGAUCCUGUUUCAAGAAACCAAGGUGGACAGUGCCUAAAAAAUGGCCUCUACAUGUACUCACAUACACGUGCACAUAAACAUGUCUAAGUAUAAACAAUAUUAUCUGAACUAAACUGCUUAUUUGAUACCAUAACUGAUAGACUCCAGGGAACCAGUGACUUCUUCAUACUAACUGAUUGCAAGCUAUGGCUUGUCAGUAGCCUAAGACCAUGUGUCCACUAGCACUGUUCUAAAAUUAGUUUUCUUUACUGCCUGUGUUUGAAAUGCCAUCUCUGGGAGGGAGUCUGUGGACAGUGUGUCCCUGUUCCUCAGAGGGACUAAAGGCUAUCACUUAGUACCCUGCUGUUCACAGUAACAAUCAGAUCACAUAGGAAGUUCUAAAGUGUGGAUGCAUGGUGUCCCUGACAUCUUUGCUAUGACAAGUCCUUUGCUUCAAUGAGAUCGUGGUGUGCAUCUUUAGAAAACAGUGUCUAAGGGUAUACAUAUUUAAAAAUACCUUUAUGAGGGCUGGAGAGAUGACACAGCACUUAUAAACACUUGAUGAACAGUUCUUCCAGAGGACUGAAUUUAGUCCCCAUACCCAAAGUGGGCUGCUGACAGCCGUCUGGAGCUCCAGGGCAUGUGAUGUCCUCUGUAUCCCUGUGGACACUCACAUGUGUGCCACAUGCACAGAGAUACACACAGAUAAAUAAAAAUAAGACAAAUCUUUCAAAGAGUUUCAUGUAUUCUAGUAGAAUUAUACUACUCAAUGCUCAAGACCCUGGGUUUGAUUACAACUCUCAAAAAAGUGUCUUCUGACAUGGGCAAGUCACCCAUCCUUCCGUACCCUGUCAGCUGCCUCUUUCUCAGGGUCCACACUUUUCUCAGACACAGAAGCACCUUGCAUUUCAUUCUCUUUACUUUGACAUAGUGAUUGGAGGCACUGCAGAAGUCUUCAUUGUUGAGGAUUAGGUGUGUGGCGAAUGGGGGUGUGUGACAAGGUUUACCUGAGCAAUGUUCCACGCUUUAGAACUUCCUAUGUGAUCUGGUUGUUAUGAACAGCAGGGUACUAAGUGAUAGCCAUGGCCCCUCUGAGGAACAGGGACAGGCUGUCCACAGACUCCCUCCUAGAGCUGACAUCUCAGACAUAGGCAAUAAUUACAAAACUGUAAUUUUAGAAUGUAUGCGGCAGUACCACUGGACACAUGGUCUUAGGCCACUGACGAUGGGCCUGAAAUACUUUUUAAUAAAACGUUCUAGGCUGUUAAUAAACAUGCUGGCCUUCAAAGAUCUUUUUUCCUUGCCUCCAUUCCAAAGCCAGAAAGUACUGGAGAGAAGGAUUCUGGACCUGCCUUCAAACCUGCCCCUUGGUUUCUGACUGAGUUGGGUAUAUGAUACGUUUUUAAUUGCCGUG